This 104-nucleotide non-coding RNA is filed under the name Escherichia coli. RNAcentral also lists the same sequence under 2 other names. Lineage: Bacteria; Pseudomonadati; Pseudomonadota; Gammaproteobacteria; Enterobacterales; Enterobacteriaceae. The record is from RNAcentral.
AGAUUUUGGUGACUGCGCUCCUCCAAGCCAGUUACCUUGGUUCAAAGAGUUGGUAGCUCAGCGAACCUUGAGAAAACCACCGUUGGUAGCGGUGGUUUUUCUUU